This 77-nucleotide transfer RNA is filed under the name Corynebacterium mustelae. RNAcentral describes it as "tRNA-Pro". It matches the Rfam family "tRNA". From Rfam's summary of the family: Transfer RNA (tRNA) molecules are approximately 80 nucleotides in length. The record is from RNAcentral. Lineage: Bacteria; Bacillati; Actinomycetota; Actinomycetes; Mycobacteriales; Corynebacteriaceae.
CGGGACGUGGCGCAGCUUGGUAGCGCAUCUGCUUUGGGAGCAGAGGGUCGCAGGUUCAAAUCCUGUCGUCCCGACAA